GUGCUUGCUCCAGCAGCACAUAUAUUAAAAUGAGAACAAUACAGAGAAGAUUAGCAUGGCCCCUUUGUAAGGAUGACAUGCAAAUUUGUGAAGCGUCCCAUAUUUUG
Gorilla gorilla gorilla (western lowland gorilla) is the source of this 107-nucleotide small nuclear RNA. The record is from Ensembl. NCBI's taxonomy places the organism in Eukaryota, Metazoa, Chordata, Mammalia, Primates, Hominidae.